This 433-nucleotide ribosomal RNA is filed under the name uncultured bacterium. Its description in RNAcentral is "partial 16S ribosomal RNA". It matches the Rfam family "Bacterial small subunit ribosomal RNA", at positions 29 to 507 of the family's 1533-position model. The record is from RNAcentral.
AGCGAACGCUGGCGGCAGGCCUAACACAUGCAAGUCGAACGAACUCUUCGGAGUUAGUGGCGGACGGGUGAGUAACACGUGGGAACGUGCCUUUUGGUUCGGAAUCACUCAGGGAAACUUGUGCUAAUACCGAAUGUGCCCUUCGGGGGAAAGAUUUAUCGCCAUUAGAGCGGCCCGCGUCUGAUUAGCUAGUUGGUGAGGUAACGGCGCACCAAGGCGACGAUCAGUAGCUGGUCUGAGAGGAUGACCAGCCACACUGGGACUGAGACACGGCCCAGACUCCUACGGGAGGCAGCAGUGGGGAAUCUUGCGAAAUGGGCGAAAGCAUGACGCAGCCAUGCCGGGUGAAUGAUGAAGGUCUUAGGAUUGUAAAAUUCUUUAACCGGGGACGAUAAUGACGGUACCCGGAGAAGAAGCCCCGGCUAACUUCGUG